RNAcentral lists this ribosomal RNA (567 nucleotides) under uncultured bacterium. RNAcentral's name for it is "partial 16S ribosomal RNA". It matches the Rfam family "Bacterial small subunit ribosomal RNA", at positions 355 to 914 of the family's 1533-position model. The record is from RNAcentral.
UGGGGAAUUUUGGACAAUGGGGGAAACCCUGAUCCAGCCAUCCCGCGUGUGCGAUGAAGGCCUUCGGGUUGUAAAGCACUUUUGGCAGGAAAGAAACGUCGCGGGUUAAUACCCCGCGAAACUGACGGUACCUGCAGAAUAAGCACCGGCUAACUACGUGCCAGCAGCCGCGGUAAUACGUAGGGUGCAAGCGUUAAUCGGAAUUACUGGGCGUAAAGCGUGCGCAGGCGGUUCGGAAAGAAAGAUGUGAAAUCCCAGAGCUUAACUUUGGAACUGCAUUUUUAACUACCGGGCUAGAGUGUGUCAGAGGGAGGUGGAAUUCCGCGUGUAGCAGUGAAAUGCGUAGAUAUGCGGAGGAACACCGAUGGCGAAGGCAGCCUCCUGGGAUAACACUGACGCUCAUGCACGAAAGCGUGGGGAGCAAACAGGAUUAGAUACCCUGGUAGUCCACGCCCUAAACGAUGUCAACUAGCUGUUGGGGCCUUCGGGCCUUGGUAGCGCAGCUAACGCGUGAAGUUGACCGCCUGGGGAGUACGGUCGCAAGAUUAAAAACUCAAAUGAAUUGAC